This 905-nucleotide ribosomal RNA is filed under the name Symbiobacterium thermophilum. Its description in RNAcentral is "bacterial LSU rRNA". It matches the Rfam family "Bacterial large subunit ribosomal RNA", at positions 2023 to 2925 of the family's 2925-position model. The record is from RNAcentral. Lineage: Bacteria; Bacillati; Bacillota; Clostridia; Eubacteriales; Symbiobacteriaceae.
GACAAGGGACCCGGCGAAAUUGUAGUACCAGUGAAGAUGCUGGUUACCCGCGACUGGACGGAAAGACCCCGUAGAGCUUUACUGCAGCCUGAUAUUGGACUUUGGCAUUGGAUGUACAGGAUAGGUGGGAGGCAGGGAAUCAUAGACGCCAGUCUAUGAGGAGCCGACGGUGGGAUACCACCCUUUCAGUGCUGGGGUUCUAACCGCUGGCCGUUAUCCGGCAGCGGGACAGUGUCAGGUGGGCAGUUUGACUGGGGCGGUCACCUCCUAAAGGGUAACGGAGGUGCCCAAAGGUCCUCUCAGGAUGGUUGGGAACCAUCUGGUGAGUGCAAAGGCAGAAGGGGGCCUGACUGUGAGAGGGACACCUCGAGCAGGGACGAAAGUCGGGCUUAGUGAUCCGGCGGUAUCGAGUGGGAGAGCCGUCGCUCAACGGAUAAAAGCUACCUCGGGGAUAACAGGCUGAUCUCCCCCAAGAGUCCACAUCGACGGGGAGGUUUGGCACCUCGAUGUCGGCUCGUCGCAUCCUGGGGCUGGAGCAGGUCCCAAGGGUUGGGCUGUUCGCCCAUUAAAGCGGCACGUGAGCUGGGUUCAGAACGUCGUGAGACAGUUCGGUCCCUAUCCGUCGCGGGCGCAGGAAAUUUGAGGGGAGCCGUCCCUAGUACGAGAGGACCGGGAUGGACGUACCGCUGGUGAACCAGUUGUCACGCCAGUGGCACAGCUGGGUAGCUAAGUACGGAAGGGAUAAACGCUGAAGGCAUCUAAGCGUGAAGCCCACCCCAAGAUAAGAUUUCCCAUCCGGUAAGCGGAGUAAGGCCCCUCGUAGAAGACGAGGUAGAUAGGUCCGGGGUGUAAGUGCAGCAAUGCACUUAGCUGACGGAUACUAAUAGGCCGAGGGCUUGAUCUUA